UAUAUUCACAACACGUAAAAUUAUAUUUUGCAGAAAUUGUACGAUAUAUAUUCGCAUCCCGCAACCCUUUAGAAACGGAAUUAGUUAUUAAAGCAGAAAAGGAACAUCCUCCAUUGUAAUUCAGAUGAGACAGUACACGCUCGGCUCAACGAGUCUUAUCUUGUUUGCAACGAGGUUCUUGUUGACCAUCGAGUUUUUGUUCACGACCGCGCACUCCGCGAUUAUGAAGCCUUACCUAUGAUAUAUUUUGUAACGCCCACAUAUCCUAGACGAGAGCAGAUACCUGAACUCAUUCGGUUGGCAUAUACACUACUACAUGUACCACGUAUUCAUUGGAUACUUGCAAAUGAUCUUAAAGCAUGCAAUGCUUAUAUAGAUGGUUUACUCAAAAGAUUUGAUCUCGAGACUAAAGUCCGUUUUGCUCAUCACGCAAUGAUAAGUUUCUUAACGUUUAAAAAUUUUGAGGUCGCUUAUUAUGAGCUUAGUUUUUGAAAAUUUACAAUGGCGCAUCCAAUAGGGCGGACGAAAAAUUAAAAAUUUAUCAGAUUCGCUUGAGACUUGUUCCUUGGGCGUUUUGAGUAUCGUUGAUUACGAAUUUGACAUCAGAUUUUCUAAACGUCUUUUAUUUUGGAAAUACCUAAAUUCAGCCAUACCCAGAAACAACGACGUGGAUGUAGCAGGAUUGGGGUGCUUGAUUACGUGAAUCCCCUUGCUCUCAUUCUUACGUUAGGUUAAAUUUAUAAAUAAAAUAUGUAUUGACUUACUGAUAA
Long non-coding RNA from Bactrocera tryoni, 770 nucleotides. RefSeq lists it as uncharacterized. The record is from RefSeq and is a predicted model, not a curated record. NCBI's taxonomy places the organism in Eukaryota, Metazoa, Arthropoda, Insecta, Diptera, Tephritidae. The transcript has 3 exons.